This 402-nucleotide ribosomal RNA is filed under the name uncultured bacterium. Its description in RNAcentral is "bacterial SSU rRNA". It matches the Rfam family "Bacterial small subunit ribosomal RNA", at positions 354 to 773 of the family's 1533-position model. The record is from RNAcentral.
GUGGGGAAUAUUGGACAAUGGGGGCAACCCUGAUCCAGCAAUGCCGCGUGAGUGAUGAAGGCCUUAGGGUUGUAAAGCUCUUUUGGCGGGGACGAUGAUGACGGUACCCGCAGAAUAAGCCCCGGCUAACUUCGUGCCAGCAGACGCGGUAAUACGAAGGGGGCGAGCGUUGUUCGGAAUUACUGGGCGUAAAGGGCGCGUAGGCGGCCGAUCAAGUCAGAUGUGAAAGUCCUGGGCUUAACCUGGGGACUGCAUUUGAUACUGAUUGGCUUGAAUGCAGGAGAGGAUAGCGGAAUUCCCAGUGUAGAGGUGAAAUUCGUAGAUAUUGGGAAGAACACCGGUGGCGAAGGCGGCUAUCUGGACUGUGAUUGACGCUGAGGCGCGAAAGCGUGGGGAGCAAAC